GCACUGCUGAAGAGUCCCAUACUAGGACGAAACGGCCGUCCAGUUC
This is a non-coding RNA of Schistosoma curassoni, 46 nucleotides long. Lineage: Eukaryota; Metazoa; Platyhelminthes; Trematoda; Strigeidida; Schistosomatidae. The record is from Rfam.